UACAGAGGGUGCAAGCGUUGUUCGGAAUUAUUGGGCGUAAAGCGCACGUAGGCGGUUUGUUAAGUCGGAUGUGAAAUCCCUCGGCUCAACUGAGGAAGUGCAUCCGAAACUGGCAGGCUUGAGUACUAAAGAGGGUCGCGGAAUUCCCGGUGUAGAGGUGAAAUUCGUAGAUAUCGGGAGGAACACCGGUGGCGAAGGCGGCGACCUGGGUAGAUACUGACGCUGAGGUGCGAAAGCGUGGGGAGCAAACAGG
RNAcentral lists this ribosomal RNA (253 nucleotides) under uncultured bacterium. Its description in RNAcentral is "partial 16S ribosomal RNA". It matches the Rfam family "Bacterial small subunit ribosomal RNA", at positions 524 to 776 of the family's 1533-position model. The record is from RNAcentral.